GACGAACGCUGGCGGCGUGCCUAAUACAUGCAGGUAGAACGCACAGUUUAUACCGUAGCUUGCUACACCAUAGACUGUGAGUUGCGAACGGGUGAGUAACGCGUAGGUAACCUGCCUGGUAGCGGGGGAUAACUAUUGGAAACGAUAGCUAAUACCGCAUAAUAUUAAUUAUUGCAUGAUAAUUAAUUGGAAGGUGCAAUUGCACCACUACCAGAUGGACCUGCGUUGUAUUAGCUAGUAGGUGAGGUAACGGCUCACCUAGGCGACGAUACAUAGCCGACCUGAGAGGGUGAUCGGCCACACUGGGACUGAGACACGGCCCAGACUCCUACGGGAGGCAGCAGUAGGGAAUCUUCGGCAAUGGACGAAAGUCUGACCGAGCAACGCCGCGUGAGUGAAGAAGGUUUUCGGAUCGUAAAGCUCUGUUGUAAGAGAAGAACGGGUGUGAGAGUGGAAAGUUCACACUGUGACGGUAGCUUACCAGAAAGGGACGGCUAACUACGUG
RNAcentral lists this ribosomal RNA (505 nucleotides) under uncultured bacterium. RNAcentral describes it as "partial 16S ribosomal RNA". It matches the Rfam family "Bacterial small subunit ribosomal RNA", at positions 28 to 507 of the family's 1533-position model. The record is from RNAcentral.